This 403-nucleotide ribosomal RNA is filed under the name Caiman crocodilus (spectacled caiman). RNAcentral describes it as "partial 12S ribosomal RNA". It matches the Rfam family "Bacterial small subunit ribosomal RNA", at positions 789 to 1384 of the family's 1533-position model. Lineage: Eukaryota; Metazoa; Chordata; Crocodylia; Alligatoridae. The record is from RNAcentral.
ACUAUGCUUAGCCCUUAACAAAGGUGUACCCCACACAUCCUACACCCGCCAGAUGAUUACGAGCCAAGCUUAAAAUUCAAAGGACUUGACAGCACUUCAAAUCCACCUAGAGGAGCCUGUCCUAUAAUCGAAAGUACACGAUUCACCUAACCACCCUUAGUUAUCCAGUUUGCAUACCGCCGUCGCAAGCUUGUCUCGCUGAGAGAAACAAAAUGAGCACAAUAGCCCCCCCCCGCUAAAACGUCAGGUCAACGCGCAGCUAAUGGGGUGGAAAGGAUGUGCUACAUUUUCUAACACAUAGAAAUACGUGACGGAACGUCCCGUGAAACCGGGACUGUUUAAAGCAGAAUCUAGUAGUAAGUCAGGAAAAGAACGCCUAGCUGAAAAAGGCCCUGAAGUGUGU